UGGGGAAUUUUGGACAAUGGGGGCAACCCUGAUCCAGCCAUGCCGCGUGAGUGAAGAAGGCCUUCGGGUUGUAAAGCUCUUUCGGACGGAACGAAAUCGCUCGCGUGAAUAACGCGGGUGGAUGACGGUACUGUAAGAAGAAGCACCGGCUAACUACGUGCCAGCAGCCGCGGUAAUACGUAGGGUGCGAGCGUUAAUCGGAAUUACUGGGCGUAAAGCGUGCGCAGGCGGUUGUUUAAGCCAGUCGUGAAAUCCCCGGGCUUAACCUGGGAAUGGCGAUUGGGACUGGACGGCUAGAGUGUGGCAGAGGGAGGUGGAAUUCCACGUGUAGCAGUGAAAUGCGUAGAUAUGUGGAGGAACACCGAUGGCGAAGGCAGCCUCCUGGGCCAGCACUGACGCUCAUGCACGAAAGCGUGGGGAGCAAACAGG
Molecule: ribosomal RNA, 429 nt
Filed under: uncultured beta proteobacterium
Lineage: Bacteria; Pseudomonadati; Pseudomonadota; Betaproteobacteria
Description: bacterial SSU rRNA
Rfam family: Bacterial small subunit ribosomal RNA
Source: RNAcentral